UGUUUGGCUAUUUAUACACAGACACUAAUUGUAAUUUAAAAAGCCACAGGUGUGGGAAAUUAACCUUUAAUUGCCAUUUAAACCUGUGUAUGUCACUUUGUGUGUCUGUAACAAGGCCAAACAUUCAAGGGUAUGUAAACAUCAUUGCCAUUUGGGUGAUUUCUGUUACCAUUAUGAUUUAAAAAGGAGCCAAACAACAAUGUGAUGUUGGUGCGGCUAUCCUUAUGAGGACACUCCAUAGACAUAAUGAUUUGUAUACUGUACAAACUAUAGAUUUUAUCCCCUAACCCUAACCCUACCCCUAAACCUAACCCUCACAAAAAACAUCCUGCAUUUUUAAAUUUUCUAAAAAAACAUUGUUUAGUAUGUUUUUUUAAGCAAUUGGAAUUAUGGGGACACUAGAAAUGUCCUCAUAAACCACAUUUUUAGCAUAAUACCCUUGUAGUUACCAGUUUGUAACCUAAAAAAAAUAAACCACCCAAACCCGCCCACACACUCUAUCCGAUGUCAUCAUGUUGACCCCUGGUUGACUUGGUUUAUAGAGAGAGACUCAAAGUGCACCCAUAGACUCGCCUUUACAGCCCAAUGAUUAGCAUUCCCGUAGCUAAAACCCAGACGCUUGAGAACUGGCUGCUGUGUGCUUCCUGCCAGUGUAAAUCAACACUUCCACAUAUUCUCCUUAAGUCCCUCUAAGGGUUAUCCAGGGCAUGUUUAAAAUACACAGGCUAAGAACAUAUACGAGAGGAAAUUGAUUAAAGAUGCAAAUGUGAUAAACGCAUGAUGUGAUUUCAGCAUACUCAAAAACAAACAUACUCAGAACAAAAACUUUUAUUUAGGGUAACUGUUUUUACCUGCAUUACUCAUGAUUUGAGUUCUAUUUUUGCCUUACAAAGCACUUCCCAUUACAAAAGUUAAUGUCUAUGUGUCUGUGUUCUCUCAAGGGGUUUUCCCUUUGAAAUAGGAUCUGAUUUAGGGAGACUUCUCCACGGCAGGUUUAAGGAAGUGAUUCUUCUUUCACCCGAUCAUAGAUGACCAAAGACACUCCGCCCUAGCAAGCACAGAUCCAGUCUAUUUCUCUCCGAACAGGGAUCAGUUUGUGUAAGAGCCAAGGCAGGUGCAGGACAGAGGGAACACAAGAAUUCUGAGAGGAAAGUUCUCGUCACAGGUCAAAUGUUUGAGCGCAAAAGUUAGCGGGCAAACUAUGUGGUAAAUGAAACAAAUACUCACUGCACAUCUAGGACAUGGAGUUGUCUGUGUGUGUGCUUGUGUGUGCACAGAAAGGUGACUAAUUAAAUGAAUACAUUAAUUAUGCGUUAGAUACUAGGCACGGUGCAUGAUUUCUAUGUGUGCACAUACGCUUCAAACAAUUCAAAACCGUGAGUACAAUGGUAAUAAUAUAAAAUAGGCUCACACUGUGUGUGUAAUGACUAAAUGAAAUGAAGCCUGCUGGUUUUCCUAGACUCAUUGUGGCCUCUGUUCAGCUGUAUUUUAGUACAGUGUCAUGCAAAGUGUUUGCAAAAUGGUUUGAUCUGAGCAAAUGAAUGUUGGACAUAAAAGUGUAGCUUUCUCUUGGGCACAGGCCAGGCUUUUCAGAGAAAAGGGGAAAAGCACUUAGUUGUAAAAGUGGGUUGCGCUUUACAUUUUGAUUAGGUCAUUUUUCAAAACAGAAAAGCUUGUGAUUUCAGGUGUUAUUGUGAAGUACCGUGAUCUAUCUAUCUAUCUAUCUAUCUAUCUAUCUAUCUAUCUAUCUAUCUAUCUAUCUAUCUAUCUAUCUAUCUAUCUAUCUAUCCAUCCAUCCAUCCAUCCAUCCAUCCAUCCAUCCACACAGAUUGAGACAUACACAUAUUAACCUGCUAACCGUAUAACUAUACGAACUGUCAGAAAAAAUAAACCAACUCUUGCAUGGUUUGUAAUAAUCAUAUCCAUAAUUAUAAAGUGUCGCCCUUCAGUCAGUGAGUAAAAAUAAAGGCCUCCAUCAUGAUGUCAGUCUCCGCUUACACUUGGAUCACGAUGCACGAGCAGUCGGCUCCAUGGUAACCAGUAUUAAGUGGACACUAUAAUCACAUCAUUAAUUCAGCUUUGUGACCUCUUUGUCUCUAUUUUUAAAAGCAGGUGAGAAGGUAACAGAGCUCCACACUCUUCUGCAAAACAGCUCUCCGCUCUCUCACAGCAGAGCAAUUUUACACCACUGCACAUCAUUGGAGAAGCAGUAGGAGGUCACUUAAUGCCUUUGCUGAGAAAAAAGACAGAGAUUUAAGAGUGAACUUCCUGAAGACAAAGAUGGAUAAUGCUUGUAUGUGGUCUUAGAUUUAGCCUCCUCGGGUGUGCUGUCCAGUGCCAGUUCGUCUUGUGUACCUAGUCAGUUGUUCGGUUCCAGUUGGUCUUGUUGAUGUCAGUCAGUUUAUUCCCUUUCCCCAACUGGUCUGGUUGGUCCUGCCUCCAGUUUCCUUUGCCCCAGUCUGGAUUACUUUUCCCCCUAUGGGAUACUCCAUACACACAGGCCUUGAGGGGCGCUUACACAGAAGCUCUUCAGGGGGUUGUUAGCUGUGAGCUUAGCCACCACAAGCUCUCCAGCUCACGCACUAAUUAUUUUCAUAGUCAGCCGGGUGUGCAGAGCUGGCCUUCGAGUUGUGCAAAUGCUUAUUUAAGCUGUGUAACUGACAUCCAUAUGGUUUUUAUCACCACAAAGAAACGUUUGAACUGGUUACUGGAACUCUGUUUUCAUGCUGCCAAGGCUCUGACCCGUCUUUCAAAAACACUCAUAUGUGCUGCUUUGCUAGGAUAUUCUAUUCCAUAAUGUUCUGGAUCAGCAUAUUUUUUUCCUUCACUGAGUCACUGUUGUACGCAAAAAAAAAAAAAAAGUGUUAAUAAAAACAAAUUCCGA
Molecule: long non-coding RNA, 2884 nt
Organism: Myxocyprinus asiaticus (Chinese sucker)
Lineage: Eukaryota; Metazoa; Chordata; Actinopteri; Cypriniformes; Catostomidae
Exons: 4
Source: RefSeq, a predicted model, not a curated record